UACGUAGGUGACAAGCGUUGUCCGGAUUUACUGGGCGUAAAGAGCGCGCAGGCGGUCGAUCAAGUCGAGUGUGAAAGCCCCCGGCUCAACUGGGGAGGGUCAUUCGAUACUGAUCGACUCGAAGGCAGGAGAGGGUAGUGGAAUUCCCGGUGUAGUGGUGAAAUGCGUAGAUAUCGGGAGGAACACCAGUGGCGAAGGCGGUUCUCUGGGCCUGUACUGACGCUGAGGAGCGAAAGCGUGGGGAGCGAACAGG
Molecule: ribosomal RNA, 253 nt
Filed under: uncultured bacterium
Lineage: Bacteria
Description: partial 16S ribosomal RNA
Rfam family: Bacterial small subunit ribosomal RNA
Source: RNAcentral